GGAAGGCACAAGGAAGAAAAGUGCACUUACUAGAACUUCAGCUCCCAAGCUGGUGAAGCAAGAUCCCCGUACGGGCCACCAGAAGAAAUGAUGUGGGCUCAGCGAGCUGAGUCGUUGAAAGAAAGAUUCUUGGACUCUCAAGGUCUUGCUGAAUUGAGAAUCGCCGCCUAAACAAUAAGUCUGAGGAAGCAGACAUCUGUUACCUAGACAAUACUAGACCGCUCAAGAGGACCACUUACCCUGGGAGAAGCCAAUUGCCAUCUUAGGAGGCCACUCAAGCAGCACUAUAGAGAAACUCACGUGGUGAGGAACAGAGGCCUCCAGCUAACAGCCAUACUCU
RNAcentral lists this long non-coding RNA (340 nucleotides) under Equus asinus (donkey). RNAcentral describes it as "lncRNA (ENSEASG00005031282.1)". The record is from RNAcentral. Lineage: Eukaryota; Metazoa; Chordata; Mammalia; Perissodactyla; Equidae.